RNAcentral lists this ribosomal RNA (487 nucleotides) under uncultured bacterium. Its description in RNAcentral is "partial 16S ribosomal RNA". It matches the Rfam family "Bacterial small subunit ribosomal RNA", at positions 28 to 507 of the family's 1533-position model. The record is from RNAcentral.
GAUGAACGCUAGCGAUAGGCUUAACACAUGCAAGUCGCGGGGCAGCACAAGGUAGCUUGCUAUCUGGGUGGCGACCGGCGCACGGGUGCGUCACGCGUAUGCAACUUGCCCUAUACAGGAGGAUAACCCGUCGAAAGACGGACUAAUCCUGCGUAUGCUCACACCUUGGCAUCAAGUGGUGAGGAAAGAACUUCGGUAUAGGAUAGGCAUGCGUCCCAUUAGCGUGUUGGUGAGGUAACGGCUGACCAAGGCAACGAUGGGUAGGGGAACUGAGAGGUUUAUCCCCCACACGGGGACGGAGACACAGACUAGACUCCUGCGGCAGGCAGCAGUGAGGAGUAUGGGACAAGGGGCGCGAGCCUGAACCAGCCAAGUCGCGUGAAGGAUGACUGUCGUAUGGAUUGUAAACUUCUUUUAGACGGGAAUAACAAGAGUCACGGGUGACUCACUGAAGGUACCGGAUGAAUAAGCAUCGGCUAACUCCGUG